GACGAACGCUGGCGGCGUGCUUAACACAUGCAAGUCGAACGAGAAGAGAUGAGAAGCUUGCUUCUUAUUGAUUCGAGUGGCAAACGGGUGAGUAACGCGUAAGCAACCUGCCCUUCAGAUGGGGACAACAGCUGGAAACGGCUGCUAAUACCGAAUACGUUCUUUUUGUCGCAUGGCAGAGAGAAGAAAGGGAGGCUCUUCGGAGCUUUCGCUGAAGGAGGGGCUUGCGUCUGAUUAGCUAGUUGGUAAGGUAAUGGCUUACCAAGGCGAUGAUGCAUAGCCGAGUUGAGAGACUGAUCGGCCACAAUGGAACUGAGACACGGUCCAU
Molecule: ribosomal RNA, 328 nt
Filed under: uncultured bacterium
Lineage: Bacteria
Description: bacterial SSU rRNA
Rfam family: Bacterial small subunit ribosomal RNA
Source: RNAcentral